CCCUUAGAUGUUCUGGGCCGCACGCGCGCUACAAUGAUGAAUUCAACGAGUUUAUAACCUUGGUUGAAAAGCCUGGGUAAUCUUUUGAACUUUCGUCGUGAUGGGGCUAGACCCUUGCAAUUAUUGGUCUCCAACGAGGAAUUCCUAGUAAACGCAAGUCAUCAGCUUGCAUUGAUUACGUCCCUGCCCUUUGUACACACCGCCCGUCGCACCUACCGAUUGAAUGGUCCGGUGAAAUCUUCGGAUUGAGACUUUGUUUUCUUCACGGAAAACGCUGUUUUAAAAAGUUGAUUAAACCUUACCAUUUAGAGGAAGGAGAAGUCGUAACA
Molecule: ribosomal RNA, 329 nt
Filed under: uncultured eukaryote
Lineage: Eukaryota
Description: partial 18S ribosomal RNA
Rfam family: Eukaryotic small subunit ribosomal RNA
Source: RNAcentral